This 31-nucleotide non-coding RNA is filed under the name Mus musculus (house mouse). The record is from RNAcentral. Lineage: Eukaryota; Metazoa; Chordata; Mammalia; Rodentia; Muridae.
UAACAUUCAGGGCAUCACCAAGCCUGCCAUC